This is an RNA transcript of Hyaena hyaena (striped hyena), 2690 nucleotides long. It is a transcript of the gene named cysteinyl-tRNA synthetase 2, mitochondrial, with no coding region annotated. The transcript is spliced from 16 exons. NCBI's taxonomy places the organism in Eukaryota, Metazoa, Chordata, Mammalia, Carnivora, Hyaenidae. The record is from RefSeq and is a predicted model, not a curated record.
GCGAGCCUCCCCGAGGCCGCGGGUCGCGGCGCUCUGAGCCGCGCGCGGCCAGGCCAUGCUGCGGGCGUGCGGGGCGGCCGUGGGCCCCCGGCUCCUGCGGGCCGCGCUGGGCCUGGGGCCCGGGCCCGGGCGGGCGGCGUCGGGGGCGCGCGGCCAGGGCUGGCUGCAGCCGGAGGGCCACGACACGGGCGUCAAGGUGUACAACAGUCUCACCCGGAGGAAGGACCCCUUGAUCGUGGGCAGCGCGGACGCCGUCUCCUGGUAUAGCUGCGGACCAACCGUCUACGAUCACGCACACCUUGGCCAUGCUUGCUCAUACGUGAGAUUUGAUAUCAUUCGAAGGAUCCUCACGAGGGUUUUCGGGUGCAACGUCGUCAUGGUGAUGGGAGUCACCGAUGUGGACGACAAGAUCAUCAGAAGAGCUUGCGAGAUGAACGUGUCACCUGGAUCUCUGGCCAUUCUUUACGAAGAGGACUUUAAACAGGACAUGGCCGCCUUGAAGGUUCUCCCCCCGACAGUGUACUUAAGAGUGACUGAAAAUAUUCCUCAGAUCAUUUCUUUCAUCGAAGGAAUAAUUGCUAACGGGCAUGCUUAUUCGACAGCACAAGGCAAUGUCUACUUCGAUCUUCCAUCCAGAGGAGACCGGUACGGCAAGCUCGUGGGCGUGGUCCCCGGUCCCAGCGCGGAGCCAGUUGACUCUGACAAGCGGCACCCCAGCGACUUUGCCCUGUGGAAGGCGGCCAAACCCCGGGAGGUGUUCUGGGCCUCUCCCUGGGGAAACGGAAGGCCUGGCUGGCACAUCGAAUGUUCCACCAUCUCCAGCCUGGUGUUUGGAAGCCGGCUGGACAUCCACUCGGGUGGGGCGGACCUGGCCUUCCCGCAUCACGAGAACGAAAUCGCCCAGUGCGAGGCCUUCCAUCAGUGCAGGCAGUGGGGAAACUAUUUCCUGCAUUCCGGGCACUUGCACGUGAAAGGCAAAGAAGAAAAAAUGUCCAAGUCGCUGAAAAACUACAUCACUAUUAAGGACUUCCUCAAGACGUUCUCCCCCGAUGUCUUCCGGCUCUUCUGCUUGCGGAGCGGCUACCGGUCAGCCGUGGACUACAGCGACGGCACCAUGCUUGAGGCCAGCCACCUCCUCCAGGCAGCAGCCGCGUUCGUCGAGGACGCCCGGGCCUACAUGAAGGGGCAGCUGGUGUGCGGCCCCGUCAGGGAGGACGUGCUGUGGGAGAGGCUCCGCCACACCAGGGAGGCGGUGAGGGCUGCGCUGGCGGACGACUUCGACACGCCCGCAGCGCUGGACGCGGUCACGGCCCUCAUCCACCGCGGGAACGCAGAGCUGCACGCGCCGCGCACUCAGGAGCCCCGCGGCCCCAGGAGUCCCGCCGUGUUUGGCUCCCUCGUGUCCUACGUCGAGCACUUCUUCGAGACCGUCGGCAUCUCUCUGCUGGACAGACAGGUCGCCUGCGGGGACGGCGGCCGGGCGGCGCUGCACAGCGUGCUGGAGGAGCUGGUCCGCUUCCGCCUCAAGGUCCGGCAGUUCGCGCUGGCCAGCGGUGCGGCCACCAGGGAGGCCCGGCGGCCCCUGCUGGAGGCGUGCGACACUCUGCGCCAGGACCUCGCCGCCCACGGCAUCAGCAUUAAGGACCGGAGCAGCACAUCCACGUGGGAGCUGCGGGGUCAGAGGACUGGAGACCGCGGCCCGGGGAGCUGAGGCCUCCGGACACGGCUCUGCGGGAGGAAAGCUUUACAUUAAAGUUCCCCAUCACGGCCGUUCAGUGAACGUGAUGGAAACACGAGAGCUCCCGCAGUCACUGCUGCGUUCCCAGGCGGUGGGCUCCUCACGCUGCAUUCAACCUAUUCGAUCCUGGUUCCCACGUGCCAGCCUUGUGGCCCGUGAGCAGCCGUGCUUGGGCUGUGCACCAGGGGCCGGUUCUGGAAGAGUCCAGCGUGAAAGCAAGACACAAGUAUGAGAGCGCCGACGGCAGCGUGGGAUGUGGCGGACGCCAUCACAGCUGAGCGCGUGGUCUCCCUGUUGUCCAUCUGUCCCUCCGUCUCCCCCGCUCUCAAGCCCCCUGCGGUCCCGUAUUGGCGAGCUGGCAUCUCCUGGGCCCGCAGGUGAGCUCGCACCAGUCACGGUGCCGGACGGCUUGGCGAGGCUCCAUGGCCACCUUUGCUUCGUCCCUGACUGCCCUGACCCCUACAGGCACCAGAGUCCCAUUCCACAGGUAAGGAAACCCGUUCGUAACUAGACUUGCCUACGGUAACCCAGCUCGUGCCUUACGAGGAUACCAGACCCCAGGGAGUCUCACGGUCCCCUGACGGCUGGACGCUGAACUUGGCCACCCGAACAUGCUUGGAGUUGACAGCUUGCUCUCGGGGAAAAGCACAAGAACAUUUUUCUGACAGCCAUUUGCUCCUUGGUUUUGAGCAAGGGGGUCUUGUACUUGUUCAGAGCAAACACCUGAAACCCGCUCCUGUGACUGCUGCAGCUGGUUCUCUGCGGAAGGAAAGGCUGAGCGCAUUUUAACGUCGGAGGACACCUGUGAAAACCUGAGAUGACAGGCCUUUAGCUGUUCAUCUCCCCGCUGUCCCGAGCGCGUCCUCACCCCGGAAAGCUGAAAGGCAGCUGCUGACUACGUAAGAAAGGAAUACAAAACCCUUUGUUGAAAUAAAUCAGAUUUGCCUUUUAA